AUUGUACUUACAUUUUAUCUUGCUGAGGAUAAGCUCAGCAAGAAUAUUAAAUUAAAAAGUAUUAUUGUUAGGCAGCUACAUAAGCUUGAAAUUAGCUACUGUAUUAAAGUUUGUUAUAAAAUAGCCUGUGUAUAAUAAUGAAAGAUUAAUAUACUUUUUUGUACUGGGGUAGUAUAAGAGAAACUAAAAAUCAAACUUAUUUAUGCUAGGAUGAGUAUUAAAAUACAAAAAUAUGUAGGCUAGAAAUAAAAGUGCACAUAAGUAAUUUUUAUUUAUAAAAGAAAAUAGGGAUAAGGAACUCGGCAAAUUUUGGCUCCGCCUGUUUAUCAAAAACAUGGCUCUUUGUUAAUUAAACAUAAAGAGUCUGACCUGCCCAGUGAAAUUUUAACGGCCGCGGUACUCUGACCGUGCAAAGGUAGCAUAAUCACUUGCCUUGUAAUUGAAGGCUUGUAUGAAUGGUUUGACGUGAGCGUGACUGUCUCCUUCCUACUUCAUAGAAUUUAACUUUUGGGUGAAGAGGCCCAAAUAAGAUUGAAAGACAAGAAGACCCUGUCGAGCUUGAAAGAAAAUUAGGAUAUUGAUAUAUUUUUAAAUUAACUACUAAUUGAUUUUUUUUGGUUGGGGCGACCGAGGAACAAAAAGAGCUUCCUUUACUUUAAUUAGUUAAUAAACAUCGAUCCAGGAUAGCUGAUUGGAAAAAUUAGUUACCGCAGGGAUAACAGCAUAAUCUCCCUUGAGAGACCUAAUCGAAAGGGGGGGUUGUGACCUCGAUGUUGGACUAAAAUAUCCUGAAGAUGCAGAAGUCU
Molecule: ribosomal RNA, 806 nt
Filed under: Pachychilus indiorum
Lineage: Eukaryota; Metazoa; Mollusca; Gastropoda; Pachychilidae
Description: partial 16S ribosomal RNA
Rfam family: Bacterial large subunit ribosomal RNA
Source: RNAcentral